CCACGGGUAGCUUAAGGUUUAAAGUUCAGGAUUCUUACUCCUGUGAUGUCUUGUGAUUUGGGACUCUG
Molecule: transfer RNA, 68 nt
Filed under: Hypoderaeum sp. Hubei-2014
Lineage: Eukaryota; Metazoa; Platyhelminthes; Trematoda; Plagiorchiida; Echinostomatidae
Description: tRNA-Lys
Source: RNAcentral